RNAcentral lists this non-coding RNA (29 nucleotides) under Homo sapiens (human). The record is from RNAcentral. Lineage: Eukaryota; Metazoa; Chordata; Mammalia; Primates; Hominidae.
UCAGAAGGCAAACGUUAGCACCAAAGGGC